UGAGGCAACAAAAUGAAAUGAGAAGUGGCAGGGUUUGAACGGAAAGCAAAUGAUUCUAUUGGUUGGUUGAUUAAGGAUUGGUGAUUGAGGAAUGUUUGAUUUAUAACCGUUUUUGUUUUAUAACCGAAUUUAUAGUUGAAGGUGGCAGACAAUAUGGGUGAUGUUGAGGAGGAAACAUUGCAAGUCGACAACAACCCUAUUUGAAUAUUACAAUGCAACCAGUGAUGUUGAUCAUGAAAUGGAAAAGAGAAGUUGGAGGACAGGAGAGUGCCUCAACCAAAAAGAAUCUCCAUUCUUGAGCAAUACACUUCGGCGCCGCAAAAACAGAUGGUACAGAAAAUUAGAAAACUCACCCAUAAGAAUUAUUCAAGUCAUCACAAUAGACUUGGUUCUGGCAGAGUUAUUAAACGGAAUAUUGAUAUCAAAGAUUCCAAACGAUUACUCCUGAGAUCGAAGAUGAUAGUGUCAAACUGAGUGUAAUGAUAAUUAGGGCCUGGAUAACAUUAAUUAGUGCUAUGCGCAGUAAAGAUAAGGGCAAACCCAGCAGAAAUUAUGAUGCGAGUACAAUGUUGAAUGGAGUUGCAUCUCUUGAAGCCGUAGUUUGGCUCUCCCUGCAUACGGAAUGCUGCGACCCUUAGCGUGUACCUUCUCCAGAACACUCAGAUUGACACUUGACACUCAUAUUUGAUCUCAGGGGUGAUCGUUUGUUGUCCUUUUGCGUCUUCGGUAUACAUUUGCGGGAUUUAUAAUUGGAAUCUUUGAUAUCAAUA
Long non-coding RNA from Nicrophorus vespilloides, 770 nucleotides. RefSeq lists it as uncharacterized. The transcript has 4 exons. The record is from RefSeq and is a predicted model, not a curated record. Lineage: Eukaryota; Metazoa; Arthropoda; Insecta; Coleoptera; Silphidae.